AUGCUCACUACACCAGCACAUAUGCUAAAAUUGGAACACUACAGAGAAGAUUAGCAUGGCCCCUGAGCGAGAAAGACACGCAAAUUCAUGAAGCAUUCCAUAUUUUC
Molecule: small nuclear RNA, 107 nt
Organism: Ailuropoda melanoleuca (giant panda)
Lineage: Eukaryota; Metazoa; Chordata; Mammalia; Carnivora; Ursidae
Source: Ensembl